This 402-nucleotide ribosomal RNA is filed under the name uncultured bacterium. RNAcentral's name for it is "bacterial SSU rRNA". It matches the Rfam family "Bacterial small subunit ribosomal RNA", at positions 355 to 774 of the family's 1533-position model. The record is from RNAcentral.
UGGGGAAUAUUGCGCAAUGGGGGAAACCCUGACGCAGCAACGCCGCGUGAGCGAUGAAGGUCUUCGGAUUGUAAAGCUCUGUCUUUGGGGACGAUAAUGACGGUACCCAAGGAGGAAGCCACGGCUAACUACGUGCCAGCAGCCGCGGUAAUACGUAGGUGGCAAGCGUUGUCCGGAUUUACUGGGCGUAAAGAGUAUGUAGGCGGACAUUUAAGUCAGAUGUGAAAUUCCCGGGCUUAACCUGGGAGCUGCAUUUGAUACUGGGUGUCUAGAGUGCAGGAGAGGAAAGUGGAAUUCCUAGUGUAGCGGUGAAAUGCGUAGAGAUUAGGAAGAACACCAGUGGCGAAGGCGACUUUCUGGACUGUAACUGACGCUGAGAUACGAAAGCGUGGGGAGCAAACA